GAUGAACGCUGGCGGCGUGCCUAAUACAUGCAAGUCGAGCGAACAGACGAGGAGCUUGCUCCUCUGACGUUAGCGGCGGACGGGUGAGUAACACGCGGAUAACCUACCUAUAAGACUGGGAUAACUUAGGGAAACCGGAGCUAAUACCGGAUAAUAUAUUGAACCGCAUGGUUCAAUAGUGAAAGACGGCUUUGCUGUCACUUAUAGAUGGAUCCGCGCCGCAUUAGCUAGUUGGUAAGGUAACGGCUUACCAAGGCAACGAUGCGUAGCCGACCUGAGAGGGUGAUCGGCCACACUGGAACUGAGACACGGUCCAGACUCCUACGGGAGGCAGCAGUAGGGAAUCUUCCGCAAUGGGCGAAAGCCUGACGGAGCAACGCCGCGUGAGUGAUGAAGGUCUUCGGAUCGUAAAACUCUGUUAUUAGGGAAGAACAAAUGUGUAAGUAACUAUGCACGUCUUGACGGUACCUAAUCAGAAAGCCACGGCUAACUACGUG
RNAcentral lists this ribosomal RNA (497 nucleotides) under uncultured bacterium. RNAcentral describes it as "partial 16S ribosomal RNA". It matches the Rfam family "Bacterial small subunit ribosomal RNA", at positions 28 to 507 of the family's 1533-position model. The record is from RNAcentral.